AGAUUAUCACUCGAGUAAAUGUUUUACAAUUAUUUUAUUUUUAUUGCUACCACAGGUGAUUAUGGUCGAUUAUAACAAAUAUAACGAAAAUAUUAAGAUACAGUAAGAAAGCAAUUAUGGACAUACAUACAAAUUAUAUCAAUGUGAUGGACGAUGGAGAUCGUGUCAAAUAGAAAAAGAAAACACAUAAUAACACUGGAAAAAAAUAUGAGUGUACAGAUCGUUUGACGAAAUCGUAGCGAUUGUAAAAAAUCAAGAAUGGUUUGUCAACUGAAAAACC
This is a long non-coding RNA of Hermetia illucens (black soldier fly), 280 nucleotides long. RefSeq lists it as uncharacterized. The record is from RefSeq and is a predicted model, not a curated record. NCBI's taxonomy places the organism in Eukaryota, Metazoa, Arthropoda, Insecta, Diptera, Stratiomyidae. The transcript has 3 exons.